GAGUUUGAUCCUGGCUCAGAUUGAACGCUGGCGGCAUGCUUUACACAUGCAAGUCGAACGGUAACAGGGUGCUUGCACCGCUGACGAGUGGCGAACGGGUGAGUAAUAUAUCGGAACGUACCUGGUAAUGGGGGAUAACUAUCCGAAAGGAUAGCUAAUACCGCAUACGCCCCGAGGGGGAAAGUGGGGGACUCGCAAGAGCCUCACGUUAUCAGAGCGGCCGAUACCGGAUUAGCUAGUUGGUGAGGUAAAGGCUCACCAAGGCAACGAUCUGUAGCGGGUCUUAGAGGACGAUCCGCCACACUGGAACUGAGACACGGUCCAGACUCCUACGGGAGGCAGCAGUGGGGAAUCUUGGACAAUGGGCGAAAGCCUGAUCCAGCAAUGCCGCGUGCAUGAAGAAGGCCUUCGGGUUGUAAAGCGCUUUUGUUCGGGAGGAAAUCCUAAGGGCUAAUAUCUCUUGGGGAUAACAGUACCGGAAGAAUAAGGACCGGCUAACUACGUGCCAGCAGCCGCGGUAAUACGUAGGGUCCAAGCGUUAAUCGGAAUUACUGGGCGUAAAGGGUGCGCAGGUGGUUUAUUAAGUGUGAUGUGAAAGCCCCGGGCUCAACCUGGGAAUUGCAUUGCAAACUGGUAUACUAGAGUAUGGCAGAGGGGGGUGGAAUUCCGCGUGUAGCAGUGAAAUGCGUAGAGAUGCGGAGGAACACCGAUGGCGAAGGCAACCCCCUGGGC
RNAcentral lists this ribosomal RNA (732 nucleotides) under uncultured bacterium. RNAcentral's name for it is "bacterial SSU rRNA". It matches the Rfam family "Bacterial small subunit ribosomal RNA", at positions 9 to 734 of the family's 1533-position model. The record is from RNAcentral.